Molecule: ribosomal RNA, 400 nt
Filed under: uncultured bacterium
Lineage: Bacteria
Description: bacterial SSU rRNA
Rfam family: Bacterial small subunit ribosomal RNA
Source: RNAcentral
AAGUCUGAUGUGAAAAUGCAGGGCUCAACUCUGUAUUGCGUUGGAAACUGUAUAACUAGAGUACUGGAGAGGUAAGCGGAACUACAAGUGUAGAGGUGAAAUUCGUAGAUAUUUGUAGGAAUGCCGAUGGGGAAGCCAGCUUACUGGACAGAUACUGACGCUGAAGCGCGAAAGCGUGGGUAGCAAACAGGAUUAGAUACCCUGGUAGUCCACGCUGUAAACGAUGAUUACUAGGUGUUGGGGGUCGAACCUCAGCGCCCAAGCAAACGCGAUAAGUAAUCCGCCUGGGGAGUACGUACGCAAGUAUGAAACUCAAAGGAAUUGACGGGGACCCGCACAAGCGGUGGAGCAUGUGGUUUAAUUCGACGCAACGCGAGGAACCUUACCAGCGUUUGACAUC